GAUGAACGCUGGCGGCGUGCCUAAUACAUGCAAGUCGAACGGUAAGGCCCUUCGGGGUACACGAGUGGCGAACGGGUGAGUAACACGUGGGUGAUCUGCCCUGCACUUCGGGAUAAGCCUGGGAAACUGGGUCUAAUACCGGAUAGGACCCUGGGAUGCAUGUCCUGGGGUGGAAAGCUUUUGCGGUGUGGGAUGGGCCCGCGGCCUAUCAGCUUGUUGGUGGGGUGAUGGCCUACCAAGGCGACGACGGGUAGCCGGCGUGAGAGGGUGACCGGCCACACUGGGACUGAGAUACGGCCCAGACUCCUACGGGAGGCAGCCGUGGGGAAUAUUGCACAAUGGGCGCAAGCCUGAUGCAGCGACGCCGCGUGAGGGAUGACGGCCUUCGGGUUGUAAACCUCUUUCAGCACCGACGAAGCGCAAGUGACGGUAGGUGCAGAAGAAGGACCGGCCAACUACGUGCCAGCAGCAGCCGCAG
This 478-nucleotide ribosomal RNA is filed under the name uncultured bacterium. RNAcentral describes it as "partial 16S ribosomal RNA". It matches the Rfam family "Bacterial small subunit ribosomal RNA", at positions 28 to 523 of the family's 1533-position model. The record is from RNAcentral.